GGGCUUGUGGCUCAGUGGCAGAGCACUUGCUGGGCAUGCAAGAAGCCCUGGGUUCAAUCCCCAGGACUCUCC
Molecule: transfer RNA, 72 nt
Filed under: Urocitellus parryii (Arctic ground squirrel)
Lineage: Eukaryota; Metazoa; Chordata; Mammalia; Rodentia; Sciuridae
Also listed under: 1 other name
Description: Spermophilus parryii (Arctic ground squirrel) tRNA
Rfam family: tRNA
About the family: Transfer RNA (tRNA) molecules are approximately 80 nucleotides in length. Their secondary structure includes four short double-helical elements and three loops (D, anti-codon, and T loops).
Source: Rfam by way of RNAcentral